AAAAAGACAAACCCUGGGUUUCCGUGUCCAACUUUAAUUGUCCGUCUUAUAUGAAUUUUUUUUUGUAAUUCGUAUUUUUAUUGUUGUUAGAUAAUAAAACAUGAUUAAUAUUUUAUACGUGACUUGUCUUUUUAAUUUUUUUAUAAUUUUUUCAAAUAAGACGGAUGGUCAAACGUUGGACACGGAAAAC
Molecule: microRNA precursor, 190 nt
Filed under: Oryza barthii
Lineage: Eukaryota; Viridiplantae; Streptophyta; Magnoliopsida; Poales; Poaceae
Description: MIR812 microRNA precursor family
Rfam family: MIR812 microRNA precursor family
Source: Rfam by way of RNAcentral